AUGAAUCUGUUGAGAGGAGUGCUGAGGUGUAACAUGAUAUACUUGAAGCCAAGAACCUUACACUCUCAUUCAUCAUUGUAAAGCAUUGUGCUUUGGAGUAGAAUGACGAGUUAGCUUCUGAAGUUGGAGACUUUACUUGAUGAUAGCGUGGGGCAAAAUGUCGAGUUGGAAUUUGAAAGGAGUGGCACGUCUUUGACCGUUCAGUGGGUGGCUGAAGACUUACACUCAAUAACUCUUUCGGAGU
Molecule: long non-coding RNA, 244 nt
Filed under: Helianthus annuus (common sunflower)
Lineage: Eukaryota; Viridiplantae; Streptophyta; Magnoliopsida; Asterales; Asteraceae
Description: hypothetical non coding rna
Source: RNAcentral